AAAAGAACCCAAGAGCUCAGCUUGGAAGCAUCUGCAUUUACAGCCAUGUUCAUGACUGAUCUGAAGGAAAAGGAGAGAUGGUUGUCAGAGGAUGCCCUUGAGAGGGUCCCCAAAAAUCUAUUCGGAGGAGCUGACUGCCAUGUGUCUAUGGUGAGGGUCUGCAAUGCACGGUGGCCUGGUGUGUGGCUGUGGCAUUGUCGAGGCUUUCCAAAUGCAUCCUGGAGAGGAGCAGUUCUUUCUAAUGGAGGUCCCUUUAGAGCAGGAAUUGGCUUUCUGGUUUGCUUGCUAACCUCCUAAAUGACUGUUAAGGGUUGAAUUAUGUCCCCCGCCAACAUUCAUGUGUUAAAGUUGUAACUUCCAGACCUCAGAUUAUGACUUUACUUGGAAAUUGGGUUACAUCUUAAUCUAGUAAGAUUAAAGUCAUGAGGGCAGGCAUGACCCAGUACGACUGUUUUCCCCCUCAAAAUGCACAAUUUGGACAAGACACGGAUGCACAGGGAGAGGGUCACGUGAAGAUGAAGGCAGAGACUGGGACAAUGUGUUUUAACCAAGGACUAGCAAAGACUGACAGAAAAUCACUGGAAGCUGGAGAAGUGGCAUGAAACAGAUUCUCCUUCACCGCCUUCAAGAGGAACCACGCCUUGACCUUGGACUUCCAGCCUCUGUAACUGUGAGACAAUACAUUUCCGCUGUUUAUAAACAACCUAGUCUAGGGUGUGUGGUACUUUGUUACGGCAGCAGCCCAAGCAAAUGAGUCUGGUGACAAGACCCAGUGCACUAAAUGUUUUGCCUGCAAAUUGGAGAGAGAGCCUCGAGAGUCUGAGCAGGAACCCUCCACAUGCAGCUAUUUGUCUAGUGCCUGGAUAAGAGGAUUGGUGGAGCAGCGUGGGUAGAGGAAUUCCUGCAGCUUGGAUUUCGCUGGCACCAUUACCACUCCCAGAGAGGAGCGGCUGGGGUUCACGGCUGGUUCCUGACAAACUUCCUAAUUAAUCUGCUAAAGAUCAGAGGAGGACUAAUAGGAGCUGAAGACUGAAGACUGUGUGCUGCGACCAUCCCUCCGCCCUUUCCCUUUGUGUGUGUGUGUGUGUGUGUGUGUGUGUGUGUGUGCGCGCGCGCACGCACGCUGCUGAGCUUGGCAGAGAGAGAUGGCCUUGCUGAGCGAUUCAGCACAAUACAUUCCUGCUGCUGCUGCUGCCACCUACCUUCCCUAUUUUGGGAGAAGGAAUUUUCUCCUCUUGCUUACAAGUCAAAGAGAGUCCCCAUAGUUUCUUCCCCCAGAUAUAAGGGUGGAAUAAAAUAUCUCCCAACCAACUUUCCUGUGAAAUAUGUGAUCUUGAUAUUUGGGUUCAUACAGCGGGGAGUCAUCUCAUGUA
Molecule: long non-coding RNA, 1373 nt
Organism: Sciurus carolinensis (gray squirrel)
Lineage: Eukaryota; Metazoa; Chordata; Mammalia; Rodentia; Sciuridae
Exons: 3
Source: RefSeq, a predicted model, not a curated record